RNAcentral lists this unclassified non-coding RNA (251 nucleotides) under Hevea brasiliensis (rubber tree). Lineage: Eukaryota; Viridiplantae; Streptophyta; Magnoliopsida; Malpighiales; Euphorbiaceae. The record is from RNAcentral.
AAUAUAGGACUUUACCGGAUCUAGUUGACACUCUAGUUAUGUGAAGAGUUUGUCUGCUUUAAUGUCAAGGUUGAAUGUAAGUUUGAAUUAAAUCCUCUGUAAGCAUCAUUACACCAGUUAGAGAAAUUGAGACUGAAAUUGCAACCGACUGAUUAUCUAAUGGAGGCUGCAGGGAUUUUCAACAUUGAAUUUGUUGGAGCUGCUUUAUUGUUUCCUAUGAAAUGCUGUGUUUUGGGGGCUUGCUUUCAAUU